RNAcentral lists this ribosomal RNA (119 nucleotides) under Pteropus alecto (black flying fox). The record is from RNAcentral. Lineage: Eukaryota; Metazoa; Chordata; Mammalia; Chiroptera; Pteropodidae.
UACUAUAGCCAUGCCAUCCUGAAUGUGUCCAAUCUUGUCUGAUCUCGGAAGCUAAGCAGGAUCAGUCCUGGUUAGUACUUGGAUGGGAGACCACCUAAAAAUACCAGGUGCUAUAGACA